UGAGGAAUAUUGGUCAAUGGGCGGAAGCCUGAACCAGCCAAGCCGCGUGAGGGAAGAAGGUACAGAGUAUCGUAAACCUCUUUUGUCAGGGAACAAAAGGCGCCACGUGUGGCGCUCCGAGUGUACCUGAAGAAAAACGCAUCGGCUAACUCCGUGCCAGCAGCCGCGGUAAUACGGAGGAUGCGAGCGUUAUCCGGAUUUAUUGGGUUUAAAGGGUGCGUAGGCGGCGAGUUAAGUCAGCGGUAAAAGCCCGGGGCUCAACCCGGCCCGCCGUGAAUCUGGCUUGCUUGAGUUGGAGAGAAGUAGGCGGAAUGCGCGGUGUAGCGGUGAAAUGCUUAGAUAUCGCGCAGAACUCCGAUUGCGAAGGCAGCCUACCGGCUCCAUACUGACGCUGAGGCACGAAAGCGUGGGGAUCAAACAGGAUUAGAUACC
RNAcentral lists this ribosomal RNA (432 nucleotides) under uncultured bacterium. RNAcentral's name for it is "bacterial SSU rRNA". It matches the Rfam family "Bacterial small subunit ribosomal RNA", at positions 355 to 786 of the family's 1533-position model. The record is from RNAcentral.